GACGAACGCUGGCGGCGUGCUUAACACAUGCAAGUCGAACGGUGAAGCUCCAGCUUGCUGGAGUGGAUCAGUGGCGAACGGGUGAGUAACACGUGAGCAACCUGCCCCUGACUCUGGAAUAAGCGCUGGAAACGGCGUCUAAUACUGGAUACGAGAAGGGUCCGCAUGGGCACCUUCUGGAAAGUUUUUCGGUUGGGGAUGGGCUCGCGGCCUAUCAGCUUGUUGGUGAGGUAAUGGCUCACCAAGGCGACGACGGGUAGCCGGCCUGAGAGGGCGACCGGCCACACUGGGACUGAGACACGGCCCAGACUCCUACGGGAGGCAGCAGUGGGGAAUAUUGCACAAUGGGCGAAAGCCUGAUGCAGCGACGCCGCGUGAGGGAUGACGGCCUUCGGGUUGUAAACCUCUUUCAGCAGGGAAGAAGCGAAAGUGACGGUACCUGCAGAAGAAGCACCGGCUAACUACGUGCCAGCAGCCGCCGUAA
Molecule: ribosomal RNA, 484 nt
Filed under: uncultured bacterium
Lineage: Bacteria
Description: partial 16S ribosomal RNA
Rfam family: Bacterial small subunit ribosomal RNA
Source: RNAcentral